RNAcentral lists this ribosomal RNA (858 nucleotides) under uncultured bacterium. RNAcentral's name for it is "SSU rRNA". It matches the Rfam family "Bacterial small subunit ribosomal RNA", at positions 524 to 1381 of the family's 1533-position model. The record is from RNAcentral.
GACGGGGGAGGCAAGCGUUGUCCGGAAUUAUUGGGCGUAAAGAGCGCGUAGGUGGUUUAUCAAGUCAUUUGUGAAAACUUUAGGCUUAACUUAAAGACUGCAAGUGAUACUGAUAUACUUGAGCACAGCAGAGGAAAGUGGAAUUCCUGGUGUAGCGGUGAAAUGCGCAGAUAUCAGGAAGAACACCAGUGGCGAAGGCGGCUUUCUGGGCUGUUGCUGACACUGAGGCGCGAAAGCUAGGGGAGCAAACAGGAUUAGAUACCCUGGUAGUCCUAGCUGUAAACGAUGGACACUAGGUGUGGGAGGUUAUCGACGCUUUCCGUGCCGAAGCUAACGCAUUAAGUGUCCCGCCUGGGGAGUACGGCCGCAAGGCUAAAACUCAAAGGAAUUGACGGGGGCCCGCACAAGCGGCGGAGCAUGUGGCUUAAUUCGACGCAACGCGAAGAACCUUACCAAGGCUUGACAUCAUGCUGAAGAAUAUAGAAAUAUAUUCGCCCGCAAGGGUAGCAUGACAGGUGGUGCAUGGUUGUCGUCAGCUCGUGUCGUGAGAUGUUGGGUUAAGUCCCGCAACGAGCGCAACCCUCUUCCCAUGUUGCCAGCAGUUUGGCUGGGCACUCUUGGGAUACUGCCAGUGUAAAACUGGAGGAAGGUGGGGAUGACGUCAAAUCAUCAUGCCCUUUAUGCUUUGGGCCGCACACGUGCUACAAUGGCUUGUACAAAGAGCUGCGAUACCGCGAGGUGGAGCGAAUCUCAAAAAACAAGUCUAAGUCCAGAUUGAAGGCUGAAACUCGCCUUCAUGAAGUCGGAGUCGCUAGUAAUCGUGGAUCAGCACGCCACGGUGAAUACGUUCCCGGGCCU